GGGGAGCGAAAUUAUAGUAGCGAAGUCGUUGAUGUCACGCUGCCGAGAAAAGCUUCUAGCGAAUAAUCAACUGCCCGUACCGCAAACCGACACAGGUAGUCGAGGAGAGUAUCCUAAGGUGAGCGAGCGAACUCUCGUUAAGGAACUCGGCAAAAUGACCCCGUAACUUCGGGAGAAGGGGUGCUGAUCGCAAGAUCAGCCGCAGUGAAAAGGCCCAGGCGACUGUUUAUCAAAAACACAGGUUUCUGCAAAAUCGUAAGAUGAAGUAUAGGGGCUGACGCCUGCCCGGUGCUGGAAGGUUAAAAGGAAGAGUUAGCUUCGGCGAAGCCCUGAAUUGAAGCCCCAGUAAACGGCGGCCGUAACUAUAACGGUCCUAAGGUAGCGAAAUUCCUUGUCGGGUAAGUUCCGACCCGCACGAAAGGCGUAACGAUCUGGGCACUGUCUCAACGAGAGACUCGGUGAAAUUGAAUUGCCUGUGAAGAUGCAGGCUACCCGCGACAGGACGGAAAGACCCCAUGGAGCUUUACUGUAGCUUGAUAUUGAGUGCUUGUACUGCUUGUACAGGAUAGGUAGGAGCCAUAGAAGCCAGGACGCUAGUUUUGGCAGAGGCGUUGGUGGGAUACUACCCUUGCAUUAUGAUCACUCUAACCCGCACCUCUGAUCGAGGUGGGAGACAGUGUCAGGUGGGCAGUUUGACUGGGGCGGUCGCCUCCCAAAAGAUAACGGAGGCGCCCAAAGGUUCGCUCAGAAUGGUUGGAAAUCAUUCGCAGAGUGUAAAGGCACAAGCGAGCUUGACUGCGAGACAGACAGGUCGAGCAGGGACGAAAGUCGGGCUUAGUGAUCCGGUGGUUCCGCAUGGAAGGGCCAUCGCUCAACGGAUAAAAGCUACCCUGGGGAUAACAGGCUUAUCUCCCCCAAGAGUCCACAUCGACGGGGAGGUUUGGCACCUCGAUGUCGGCUCAUCGCAUCCUGGGGCUGUAGUCGGUCCCAAGGGUUGGGCUGUUCGCCCAUUAAAGCGGUACGCGAGCUGGGUUCAGAACGUCGUGAGACAGUUCGGUCCCUAUCCGUCGCGGGCGUAGGAAAUUUGAGAGGACCUGUCCUUAGUACGAGAGGACCGGGAUGGACAUACCGCUGGUGUACCAGUUGUUCCGCCAGGAGCAUCGCUGGGUAGCUAUGUAUGGAUGAGAUAAACGCUGAAAGCAUCUAAGCGUGAAACUCGCCUCAAGAUGAGAUUUCCCAUUCCUUAUGGAAGUAAGACCCCUCAGAGAUGAUGAGGUAGAUAGGAUGGAAGUGGAAGUGCCGCGAGGCAUGGAGCGGACCAUUACUAAUCGGUCGAGGACUUAACCAAGUU
This 1351-nucleotide ribosomal RNA is filed under the name Lactobacillus sp. MRS-253-APC-2B. RNAcentral's name for it is "partial 23S ribosomal RNA". It matches the Rfam family "Bacterial large subunit ribosomal RNA", at positions 1566 to 2925 of the family's 2925-position model. Lineage: Bacteria; Bacillati; Bacillota; Bacilli; Lactobacillales; Lactobacillaceae. The record is from RNAcentral.